This 162-nucleotide ribosomal RNA is filed under the name Triticum aestivum (bread wheat). Its description in RNAcentral is "partial small subunit ribosomal RNA". Lineage: Eukaryota; Viridiplantae; Streptophyta; Magnoliopsida; Poales; Poaceae. The record is from RNAcentral.
AUGUCGGCGGACUGGCCCUCCUAUCUGUGGACGGAUGUAGGAGGAAAUUUGCGGGUUGCCAUUGGAUAUGCCUUAACAACUUAUCAAAGCAGUGAACACGUGUCAAUGAAUCAUGAUGAAGUUAAUAGGAAAAAUUACCAUGUGUCCUUGAGAACGCUUUAA